Molecule: long non-coding RNA, 215 nt
Filed under: Gossypium barbadense (sea-island cotton)
Lineage: Eukaryota; Viridiplantae; Streptophyta; Magnoliopsida; Malvales; Malvaceae
Description: long non-coding RNA (GBAR_LNC018628)
Source: RNAcentral
GCAAAAAGGUUCCUAUUCAUACCAUCCACUACACACCACGAGUUCCCCAGAACCUGUCUGCCAAACUCCAAAAAAUUAUGAGCAUAGCUCGAUGUGGUAAAACCACCAAGUAAUCAAUAAUGCAGAAAAUCUACUGGAUAUGCGAUAAAAUCGCCUAUCCCCUCGGUACUCUAGGUGCGGUGCACUGACUACGAAUAAUACAGACUUAAUAUGCC